ACCGUAGGAGGCGAUCGUUAUCCGGAGUGACUGGGCGUAAAGCGCGUGUAGGCGGUCAGGUAAGCUGGGUGUGAAAGCGCCGGGCUCAACCUCGCGAGGCCAUGCAGGACUGCGUGGCUGGAGGCCGGUAGAGGAGUGCGGAAUUCCCGGUGUAGCGGUGAAAUGUGUAGAGAUCCGGAGGAACACCAGUGGUGCAGACGGCGCUCUGGGCCGGCCCUGACGCUGAGACGCGAAAGCGUGGGGAGCGAACGGG
This 253-nucleotide ribosomal RNA is filed under the name uncultured bacterium. RNAcentral's name for it is "partial 16S ribosomal RNA". It matches the Rfam family "Bacterial small subunit ribosomal RNA", at positions 524 to 776 of the family's 1533-position model. The record is from RNAcentral.